This 83-nucleotide small nuclear RNA is filed under the name Coturnix japonica (Japanese quail). Lineage: Eukaryota; Metazoa; Chordata; Aves; Galliformes; Phasianidae. The record is from RNAcentral.
ACCUAGUGUAUGAUUUGGAAAGAAGAAUAGAGUGGCCCCUGCACAAAGAUGACAUGAAAAUUCCUGAAGUGCUACGUAUUUUU